This is a long non-coding RNA of Rosa rugosa (rugosa rose), 948 nucleotides long. RefSeq lists it as uncharacterized. The transcript has 3 exons. The record is from RefSeq and is a predicted model, not a curated record. Lineage: Eukaryota; Viridiplantae; Streptophyta; Magnoliopsida; Rosales; Rosaceae.
AUAGGUCUCAUUGUGAAAUUAUAAUCAUUUUCCUUCCAUCAGUUUAAGGAUUAUGAUACCUCUGGUAUUUUGAAAGAAAUCUGCAGAAACUGUCCUGCAGUACAGCCUUCUUUGGUAUUUCUUUUUCCUGACUUACUGACCUCCAAAUGACCUGAAUUUUUGAUAUUUUUUACUUCUGUUAGUUAGCAAAGGAUCUGGAAAGUUUCAUCGCAUUUCGACAUAAAGUGAAUGUUCUGUGAAUUUUCCAAGUUUGGUCUGUAAUUGAGAAAGUUCCAGAAUUUUAAAUGUUCCUCUGAUUUUCUGUUGAGAUUUGAACUUCUACUUGAAUCAUUUAAGUUCUGGUUUUUCUGUAUAUUGAACUAGACAUCCCAAUGCUUGUUUGAAAACUGAUUCCUUGUCAUUUGGAUUUGCAAUGAAUUUUUGGUGAAUUUUCUAAGUUGACCAUGCUGCUGAGAAAGUACGUGCGUGGAGGUAUUCAUAGACUCUUUCACAGGGAAGAGGACACUCGAAGUAGCCGGUUGAAAUUGUCAAUAUUCCUGCUGCUAAUGUAGCCUCAAUUUGGUUUUAGUGUUGCAAAGAACAUCAAGUGCAGACAAUCUUGAGGAUCAAUGAUAUCUUUUGCUAUACUAGAUGAAUCACUAGUACAUUCAAACAAUUGAUACCUUGGACAAAAGAAGAGGUCAGAACGUACUCUUAUCUUGGUGUGGUAUGAACUAAAUGGUGGAAUGUUGCAUAAAGAGUCUUUGGGAGAUCGAGCGUGGAGUACAAAGCAAUGCAGCAAGCUAUAUUUUCCUUCAUCAUGUAAAACUUAACCAGGAAACUUAAAUGGUUUUUAGUCUAUGAGAUGUAUGAAUGCUUUAGCAAUGUUCCUUAAAUUCAAUAUUUUAUGAAUUGAUGUAUCACAAUGAUUUUGGUACAAAUGUUGAUCAUUUGAUGGUUUGCAUUCAA